GAUGAACGCUAGCGACAGGCCUAACACAUGCAAGUCGAGGGGCAGCGAGGAUGUAGCAAUACAUUUGUCGGCGACCGGCGCACGGGUGAGUAACGCGUAUGCAACCUGCCCGACACAGGGGAAUAACCCGAAGAAAUUCGGACUAAUACCGCAUAAUACAUUUUUCUCGCAUGGGAGGAAUGUUAAAGAUUUAUCGGUGUCGGAUGGGCAUGCGUUCCAUUAGUUAGUUGGUGAGGUAACGGCUCACCAAGACGACGAUGGAUAGGGGUUCUGAGAGGAAGGUCCCCCACACUGGUACUGAGACACGGACCAGACUCCUACGGGAGGCAGCAGUGAGGAAUAUUGGUCAAUGGGCGCAAGCCUGAACCAGCCAAGUCGCGUGAAGGACGACGGUCCUAAGGAUUGUAAACUUCUUUUGUCGGGGAGUAAAAUCGGAUAUGUAUAUCCGACUGCAAGUACCCGAAGAAAAAGCAUCGGCUAACUCCGUG
RNAcentral lists this ribosomal RNA (488 nucleotides) under uncultured bacterium. RNAcentral's name for it is "bacterial SSU rRNA". It matches the Rfam family "Bacterial small subunit ribosomal RNA", at positions 28 to 507 of the family's 1533-position model. The record is from RNAcentral.